This 206-nucleotide non-coding RNA is filed under the name Kurthia sp. RNAcentral's name for it is "T-box sequence". It matches the Rfam family "T-box leader". From Rfam's summary of the family: Uncharged tRNA acts as the effector for transcription antitermination of genes in the T-box leader family. T-boxes are found upstream of many aminoacyl-tRNA synthetase genes and some amino acid biosynthetic genes usually in Gram-positive bacteria. The record is from RNAcentral. Lineage: Bacteria; Bacillati; Bacillota; Bacilli; Caryophanales; Caryophanaceae.
AAUAGGACGAAGAUCAGGAGUAGUAGAUAACGGAAGUUUUUAGAGAGUUAGCGGUUGGUGGGAGCUAAUAACGGAUGGAAUCGAACUUGCCUUGGGAGUCUGCAUAGGAAUGAUUGACCUACGCCGUUAAUCCGCGAUAAGGAUUCAAGUUGAGUGUUUUCACUAAUUUGGGUGGUACCGCGGGAAUUAUAUGUCUCGUCCCUUUU